ACGGAAGGCAGCAGUGGGGAAUAUUGCACAAUGGGGGAAACCCUGAUGCAGCAACGCCACGUGUGGGAAGAGGCAUUUCGGUGUGUAAACCACUGUCGUGAGGGAAUAAUGCUUGGCCUCGGCCAAGUUGAAUGUACCUCGAAAGGAAGCACCGGCAAACUUCGUGCCAGCAGCCGCGGUAAUACGAGGGGUGCAAGCGUUGUUCGGAAUCACUGGGCGUAAAGGGAGCGCAGGCGGAGAUGCAAGCAGUCUGUACAAUACCGGGGCCCAACCCCGGACCUGCAGACUGGACUGUUGCUCUUGGAUAGUUCAGGGGCAAGCGGAAUUCCUGGUGUAGCGGUGGAAUGCGUAGAGAUCAGGAAGAACACCGAUGGCGAAGGCAGCUUGCUGGGGACUUAUCGACGCUCAUGCUCGAAAGUGCGGGUAGCAAACAGGAUUAGAUACCCUGGUA
Molecule: ribosomal RNA, 451 nt
Filed under: uncultured Fibrobacter sp.
Lineage: Bacteria; Pseudomonadati; Fibrobacterota; Fibrobacteria; Fibrobacterales; Fibrobacteraceae
Description: partial 16S ribosomal RNA
Rfam family: Bacterial small subunit ribosomal RNA
Source: RNAcentral